This 440-nucleotide ribosomal RNA is filed under the name uncultured bacterium. Its description in RNAcentral is "partial 16S ribosomal RNA". It matches the Rfam family "Bacterial small subunit ribosomal RNA", at positions 338 to 795 of the family's 1533-position model. The record is from RNAcentral.
CCUACGGGAGGCAGCAGUGAGGGAUAUUGGUCAAUGGGGGAAACCCUGAACCAGCAACGCCGCGUGAGGGAAGACGGUUUUCGGAUUGUAAACCUCUGUCCUCUGUGAAGAUAAUGACGGUAGCAGAGGAGGAAGCUCCGGCUAACUACGUGCCAGCAGCCGCGGUAAUACGUAGGGAGCAAGCGUUGUCCGGAUUUACUGGGUGUAAAGGGUGCGUAGGCGGCCCUGCAAGUCAGAAGUGAAAUCCAUGGGCUUAACCCGUGAACUGCUUUUGAAACUGUAGGGCUUGAGUGAAGUAGAGGCAGGCGGAAUUCCCGGUGUAGCGGUGAAAUGCGUAGAGAUCGGGAGGAACACCAGUGGCGAAGGCGGCCUACUGGGCUUUAACUGACGCUGAAGCACGAAAGCGUGGGUAGCAAACAGGAUUAGAUACCCGGGUAGUC